This 253-nucleotide ribosomal RNA is filed under the name uncultured bacterium. Its description in RNAcentral is "partial 16S ribosomal RNA". It matches the Rfam family "Bacterial small subunit ribosomal RNA", at positions 524 to 776 of the family's 1533-position model. The record is from RNAcentral.
UACGUAGGGCGCAAGCGUUAUCCGGAAUUAUUGGGCGUAAAGAGCUCGUAGGCGGUUUGUCGCGUCUGCCGUGAAAGUCCGGGGCUCAACUCCGGAUCUGCGGUGGGUACGGGCAGACUAGAGUGAUGUAGGGGAGACUGGAAUUCCUGGUGUAGCGGUGAAAUGCGCAGAUAUCAGGAGGAACACCGAUGGCGAAGGCAGGUCUCUGGGCAGUACCUGACGCUGAGGAGCGAAAGUGUGGGGAGCGAACAGG